MicroRNA precursor from Oryza sativa Japonica Group (Japanese rice), 175 nucleotides. It matches the Rfam family "MIR1435 microRNA precursor family". Lineage: Eukaryota; Viridiplantae; Streptophyta; Magnoliopsida; Poales; Poaceae. The record is from Rfam.
UGACUUUAGUCAAAGUCAAACUGCUUCAAGUUUGACCAAGUUUAUAGAAAAUAAUAAUAAUAUUUUUGACCCAAGAUAAAUAUAUUUAAUAAAACUAAUUUGGUAAUGUAAAUAUUACUAUAUUUGUCUAUAAACUUGAUCAAACUUGAAGCAGUUUGACUUUGACCAAAGUCAA